RNAcentral lists this long non-coding RNA (1027 nucleotides) under Equus caballus (horse). RNAcentral's name for it is "lncRNA (ENSECAG00000045607.1)". Lineage: Eukaryota; Metazoa; Chordata; Mammalia; Perissodactyla; Equidae. The record is from RNAcentral.
GUGAGACAGUUGAUGUUAAUCCUAAGCAAAAUUCCACAGCAGGUUUUUCAAAGUAUGAUUUUUGCUCAUUGUGUAAAGAAAACGUGCUCAGGAGGAGACAGCACAGAGCUCACAGAGAGGACUGGCAUCUUCUGUUUUUGUUGCUCAUGUUCCUAGAGUUGUAAUAAGGGAGGACAGUAGCUGAAGGGUGUCUUGAUUUCAGCUUGAAAACGUUUAUCACUCAUUCACCUGAGAAGGACGGAGACUGAGCCAGGAGAAGCAGAACUGGGUACAUUCAUAACUGACUGAACAAUGAAAGUUUGUAAAUGCGGGAGGAUUAGUCAAUGUCGUUUUGGAAGGAAGUCUCCAGAAUGGCCUGCUGGACUCUGCUUUGGACUUUUUCCAGAACGACCUAAUUAUCUGAUUGGCAAAUCACAGAAAAUGGAAAUGGAAUCUCUUACCCUUUCAUUGACAGAAUCUGAGGCCGACAAUUUUCAGCAGUCUGAAACAACAGGGAUAAAUGCUCAGGGCGAUUCCCUGUGCCGGGAACACAUCCGAUUGCACUGGCGUGGUCAUGUGACCGGAGUACUAUCCACUCAGCUGCCUUCUGCUCUGUGUCGGCCUCCUGUGAGGUUCUACUCCCUCUCGUUGGGAGCCCUAUGUUACGGAAGUGUGCUGCGAGAACAAGGAGGGCUCUGAAUCAAGCAGCAUAAAAACACAUGCAUGGAGGAGUCUGCGCUGUUUUGCUGUUCUUGUCACAGUGUCUGUCAAGAGGAGAGCUCAGAUACCUCAGGGAAAGCUUUCUGAUGGGCGAGCAUUUGAAAAUAAAAAGGCAAAGACAGACAUUGAGCAGAUUCACAAGGGAGAGGAAACCCCUGAAGAAAUUUGAGAAAAAUUAAAGCAGUAACAACGGAGGUGUUGGGCACAGGUUUAACCUUUGAUAAAAAUCGGGCAAGAACAACAAAUACAAAUAUUGGUGAUGAAAGAACUAGAAAUUCAAGUUAAAAUCAGCAUGAAUAAGGAUUCACGUGGUAUGAAAGCGGCAACC